This is a long non-coding RNA of Oncorhynchus tshawytscha (Chinook salmon), 1967 nucleotides long. RefSeq lists it as uncharacterized. The transcript has 2 exons. The record is from RefSeq and is a predicted model, not a curated record. Lineage: Eukaryota; Metazoa; Chordata; Actinopteri; Salmoniformes; Salmonidae.
CUGGCGGCACAGUUUAUGGCUCUGUGAAAAUCUACAGUAAGUAUAAUUUUAAUUUGAAAGAUUAUUUCUUGCUGAUAUCAAAAAGGGGCAUAUGCUUUUCGAAAACAGUUUCGCAAGCGAUGAUUGACAUCUCUAAAUGUUAAAACAGCUUCGGAAUUAUAGUUCACAUGGAGCCAGCCGUGGGCGAAGUUAUCAACCAGUGAAAACCCUAAGGAGAGAAGGGGUUUUCGAGAACUAUGGAUCUCUGUGAUCUCAGCAGAUGUAACCCCUGAACUCUCCGUGUCAGUUUCCUCUCCCUGGUUCUUCCAGCACAGGGAGCAUAGCAGUACCACACAGGUAGACAGCCAACACCAUCCACACCACCACCCCAAACAGCAUGAAGGACAACAGGUUACCGUCCAUGGUCCCACUUGUUGUGGCGCGGGAGGGAAAGAGAGGGAGGUGGAGACAGAAAGAGGCUCCCUUGACCUUCCAAAUGGACAGACAUUGUGCAGACCCUAGUGACCAAAAGGAGGAUGAUAGAAUAAGUCUGUGUGUGUAUGUUCAUGCAUGUAUCUGUGUUUACAUGGGAGACUUAAGUAUUCUGUAAAGAGGACAUAGUUGGCUGCCGAGAAGCAGGUGAGUGUUUAAAUGAUGCCAUUAUCUUAGUGCAAACAGAAAGCACAUUAUUCUGUCAGUACGGCCUCACACCAUUUAGUUCAUAUUCAUGUGUACAUCCACUGUGUAUCCAACACUUUAACUACAUGACAUAGACUGACCAGGUGAAUCCAGGUGAAAGCUAUGAUCCCUUUUUGAUGGCAAAUCCACUUCAAUCAGUGUAAGGGAGGAGACAGGUAAAACAAUAUGUAAGGUGCGUGCAACUCAAUAUUAGGAAGGUGUUGCUAAUGUUUGAUAUAAUCAGUGUAAAUACUAUCUGCUUAUCUGUUCAACCCAGAUUAAAUAUAGAAACACACUAUAGAAAACCUGUCACCCAUGCCACAUGGAAUAUUAGUGCAGCAAAGGUAGGCUACAGAUUAGUAGUUACUUCUAUGUGAGACUAUCAGUCUCUGUCUCCCUCUGUUGGCUACAUGAAGUGGUGAAGGCAAACGAAAAGACAAAACAACCAAUUGCUGAACACCACAGCUCAGUCAGGUGUAAGAACACUGACUACCCAGUAGCAGCCUACUUUGUUUGAAGCCAACCAUCCUGUUUCCUCCCUCAUAUACACAGGUAUGGAGCAUGUUACCCUACCAAGGAGAAGAGGUAACAUUGAGACAUCACUGCUAGAGCAAAGCCAACUGGAUCUCCCACCUGAAAACACUGACCCCUAGUGGUUUGAAUAUUGACUUUGAUCUCAGUCCCUUUCUAUGAACAUUUCAACACAAUGAACAUGUUUUGCCCACAGCUUAUUAGCUGAUACUGCAUAUCAUGUUUCCCAUGUUGAUGAUGUUCAUUAUGCAUUAUGUUUGAACCACGAGAAGAUAUUAAAUCCAGGCUGUGUCCCAUAGGGCAGCGCACUGUUGGCCCAGGGUCAUCUGGGUUUGGCCUGGGUAGGUUGUCAUUGUAAAUAAUCAUUUGUUCUUAACUGACUUGCCUACUUAAAUGAAAAAAAUAUAAUUAAAUUAUGAAAAAGAUUCAAAUAAAUGAAAUGUAAACAAUAAUGAUUGAUAUUAACAUGAUGUAUUCUAUUAAAUCUAAUCAUAAGAUGAUAUUAACGUGAUGUAUUGUAUUAAAUCUAAUCAUGUUGACAUUAUGUAAAUAACUGCCUUGUGUAUUCAACAUCUUGACACACGCAGUAAAAUAAGAGUUUAACAGUUCCACUUUUUCAUCCCUCAUUACCUUAAUUACUAUGACACGCCCCUCACUGUGUUCAUUGGCUGCACAGUUUCGCUUCAUAACCUGGUUCAAGCGUUUACCAAGAAACCCUGAAGAAGGUACUGUGUGCUGAAACGUUGGUUGUCAUGCCCAUUAAACAUUUGGGAGGAUAA